This 510-nucleotide ribosomal RNA is filed under the name uncultured beta proteobacterium. RNAcentral's name for it is "bacterial SSU rRNA". It matches the Rfam family "Bacterial small subunit ribosomal RNA", at positions 8 to 523 of the family's 1533-position model. The record is from RNAcentral. Lineage: Bacteria; Pseudomonadati; Pseudomonadota; Betaproteobacteria.
AGAGUUUGAUUCUGGCUCAGAUUGAACGCUGGCGGCAUGCCUUACACAUGCAAGUCGACGGUAACGCGGGGCAACCUGGCGACGAGUGGCGAACGGGUGAGUAAUACAUCGGAACGUCCCAGUAGUGGGGGAUAGCCCGGCGAAAGCCGGAUUAAUACCGCAUACGACCUAAGGGUAAAGCAGGGGAUCGCAAGACCUUGCGCUAUUGGAGCGGCCGAUGUCAGAUUAGGUUGUUGUGGGGUAAAAGCCUACCAAGCCGACGAUCUGUAGCUGGUCUGAGAGGACGACCAGCCAACUGGGACUGAGACACGGCCCAGACUCCUACGGGAGGCAGCAGUGGGGAAUUUUGGACAUGGGCGCAAGCCUGAUCCAGCCAUGCCGCGUGCGGGAAGAAGGCCUUCGGGUUGUAAACGCUUUCGGACGGAAAGAAAUCGCCAGGGCCAAUACCCCUGGUGGAUGACGGUACCGUAAAAGAAGCACCGGCUAACUUCGUGCCAGCAGCCGCGGUAA